GAUGAAGAACGUAGCGAAAUGCGAUAAGUAAUGUGAAUUGCAGAAUUCCGUGAAUCAUCGAAUCUUUGAACGCACAUUGCGCCCUCUGGUAUUCCGGGGGGCAUGCCUGUCCGAGCGUCAUUUGCAACCCUCAAGCCCGGCUUGUGUGAUGGGUACCGUCCCCUACGGGACGCGCCCCGAAGGCAAUGGCGGCGUCGCGGUUAUCCGAUCAGCCAAAGUGUAUGGGGCUUUGUCACUCACUUUACGGCCCGGACCGGCGCCAGUCCGAAUCAAUCUUUUUUCUAAAGUUGACCUCGGAUCAGGUAGGGAUACCCGCUGAACUUAAGCAUAUCAAUAAGCGGAGGA
This 345-nucleotide unclassified non-coding RNA is filed under the name soil metagenome. RNAcentral's name for it is "partial contains 5.8S ribosomal RNA, internal transcribed spacer 2, and large subunit ribosomal RNA". The stretch from base 1 to 120 matches the Rfam family "5.8S ribosomal RNA", at positions 35 to 154 of the family's 154-position model. The record is from RNAcentral.